This is a non-coding RNA of Caretta caretta (loggerhead turtle), 725 nucleotides long. Lineage: Eukaryota; Metazoa; Chordata; Testudines; Cheloniidae. The record is from RefSeq and is a predicted model, not a curated record.
CGAUAGCUGGGACUCGGAGGGGUGGCGUGUGGUGGCCUGGCUGGUCUGCGCAGCCGGGGGAGAACCAGCGCACCGGGCUGCUCCUGGGGAGGGGUGAUGCCCGCGGGGGAACCUGCCUGCAGCUGGCUCCUAGUGUGUUCCUCAGCGACUAACCCGCGGCGCUCCCUCAACGCAGGGUGUGGACGCACCGAAGGCAGGGGUACCGGCCAGGGGGUGCCCAGACAGCGGUAGUGAAAGCCGGUUCUUAUUGGCCGAAUAUUGAACGGAGGGGAUCUAUAAACGUGCGAAGCUAAAAGACAACGCAGGAAGGCGGAGGGUGGGGGUGUACGGCGUGUGUGUGUGAGAGAAAAUCCUCCUUUGACGCGCAGGAUUAUUUUUCGCCUAUGUUAAUGGCCAUUGCUAGCAUGACUCCACUACUCGCCUGCGUCUGUUUAAACAUAAACUCAUGCUCACGGCUUCCCAAAACCGAGGGAAGGCGGUUGGCUGCCAAAUCUGCACCACUUCUGCUCUGAGAGGAAGAGCAGCAGGUUGCUGGAGCCACCCAAUGUUGAUCCAUACAGCGUCGGCUGAAAGACACUUUGAAUAUCCUAUCUCGGCAGACCUCCAAAACUAGUCAUUUCUGAAGACAGGUCUCCAAGCAGCACUGCUGAAUACAACAGAGAUACUGAAGAAAGCAAGAAACAGAAGAGGGAAAAGGAGAAAUUUUGAUGAACAGUCAGGCAAGU